CGAACGGGUGAGUAACGCGUGAGGAACCUGCCUCAAAGAGGGGGACAACAGUUGGAAACGACUGCUAAUACCGCAUAAGCCCACGGCUCGGCAUCGAGCAGAGGGAAAAGGAGAGAUCCGCUUUGAGAUGGCCUCGCGUCCGAUUAGCUAGUUGGUGAGGUAACGGCCCACCGAGGCGACGAUCGGUAGCCGGACUGAGAGGUUGAACGGCCACAUUGGGACUGAGACACGGCCCAG
This 237-nucleotide ribosomal RNA is filed under the name uncultured bacterium. Its description in RNAcentral is "partial 16S ribosomal RNA". It matches the Rfam family "Bacterial small subunit ribosomal RNA", at positions 99 to 334 of the family's 1533-position model. The record is from RNAcentral.